Molecule: ribosomal RNA, 249 nt
Filed under: uncultured bacterium
Lineage: Bacteria
Description: partial 16S ribosomal RNA
Rfam family: Bacterial small subunit ribosomal RNA
Source: RNAcentral
UUUCCUACGGGAGGCAGCAGUAGGGAAUCUUCCACAAUGGGCGCAAGCCUGAUGGAGCAACACCGCGUGAGUGAAGAAGGGUUUCGGCUCGUAAAGCUCUGUUGUUGGAGAAGAACGUGCGUGAGAGUAACCGUUCACGCAGUGACGGUAUCCAACCAGAAAGUCACGGCUAACUACGUGCCAGCAGCCGCGGUAAUACGGAGGGUGCGAGCGUUAUCCGGAUUCAUUGGGUUUAAAGGGUGCGCAGGC